CCCCAUCGUAUGCCCAGACCUCCCACCCAGGCAUCUCCAAAGACAGCUUGACCACACCAAAUGUCCCACCCUGGACACCUAGGCGCUGAGCAGCACCGGUCUCCCAGCAGCCACCGGGCAGGCUGGUUAGGGCCCCCACGCUGCUGCGGGAGGAACAGAGUAAGGGGACGGGAGGUGAGCUGCGGCAACUCCCAUCAUCCAGGUGCAGUUCUCCAAUCAGAAUCAAGACACCCAGGACACUCCGCCCGGGAAGCAGCCACCGAACCACCAUGAUGGGAGACAGAGCGGGUGCCCCUCUCAACUUCCCUCGCUGCUGAGAAGUGGAUAAAGGGGUCUCCCUGAACCCCCUGAGCUGCCCCAGGUGCCUGCCUUUUCCCCCUCCCCUCGAGCUCCCCCUCCUCGAGUUGAGCCUGGCUAGAGAGACACCUGCAGGUUUGCGCAAAGACCUCAUAUGACUGCAUCUGGCUAAACUGACAACAGAGGAAUGAAAACAAUCGAGAAACACAUGGUCCUAGAGAGAAAAUGCAGGGGCUGACCCCAAGGCUGGGAAGUGAGCAUCACCUCUCCACACCAGUUUCUGUGGCCUCUGGGGAAAAGACAGAAUAAAAACUAGACUACAGGAGGUGGGGAGGGUGAACACGUACAAAUCAUAGUGAGAAAGAACCAGUAAGACCUGGUGUUUGCCAGCACAACAGGAUUACAAGCAACAAUAAUGUAUCAUACAUUCUUAAACCACUAUGAGUAUAAUUGGAUUGUUGGAACACAAAGGACAAAUGUUUGAGGGGUGGAUACCCCUUUACCCUGAUGCGAUUAUUACACACUGCAUGCCUAUAUCAAAAUAUCUCACGUACCCCAUACCUACAAACGUAUGUACCAUGUACCCACAAAAAUUACAAAUACAAAAAUACAAAAAAAAUUAGUCUAAAAACUAGACUCUACACUUAAGGCUGGGCAAUUUCACAAAGCCCUUGAAGGGCAGGAGUCUCUUCCAGGCUCCAGAGGAAUCCAGAGGAUGAAGCAGGAC
This 1024-nucleotide long non-coding RNA is filed under the name Homo sapiens (human). RNAcentral's name for it is "HSALNT0183770". The record is from RNAcentral. Lineage: Eukaryota; Metazoa; Chordata; Mammalia; Primates; Hominidae.